CGGGUGCGUAACACGUGGAUAACCUUCCUUCAGGUGGGGAAUAACCCAGUGAAAACUGGGCUAAUACCGCAUAACAUGACGAUGGCACAUGCUGUUGUCUUCAAAGGCGCAAGUCGCCAGAAGAGGGAUCCGCGGCCGAUUAGCUUGUUGGCGAGGUAAUGGCUCACCAAGGCAUUGAUCGGUAGCCGGACUGAGAGGUUGGCCGGCCACACUGGAACUGAGACACGGUCCAGACUCCUACGGGAGGCAGCAGUGGGGAAUCUUGCACAAUGGACGAAAGUCUGAUGCAGCAACGCCGCGUGGGGGAUGAAGCUUUUCGGAGUGUAAACCCCUUUCGACCCGGACGAAUGUCCCGCAAGGGAUUGACGGUACGGGUAGAAGAAGCCCCGGCUAACUACGUGCCAGCAGCCGCGGUAAGACGUAGGGGACCAGCGUUGCUCGGAAUUACUGGGCGUAAAGGGUUCGUAGGCGGUGCGGCAAGUCGGGAGUGAAAUCUCUGGGCUUAACUCAGAGGCUGCUUCCGAAACUGCCGUGCUCGAGUGCGGGAGAGGCGAGUGGAAUUGCAGGUGUAC
RNAcentral lists this ribosomal RNA (572 nucleotides) under uncultured bacterium. RNAcentral's name for it is "bacterial SSU rRNA". It matches the Rfam family "Bacterial small subunit ribosomal RNA", at positions 103 to 678 of the family's 1533-position model. The record is from RNAcentral.